Molecule: ribosomal RNA, 423 nt
Filed under: uncultured bacterium
Lineage: Bacteria
Description: bacterial SSU rRNA
Rfam family: Bacterial small subunit ribosomal RNA
Source: RNAcentral
AAGCCUGAUGCAGCCAUGCCGCGUGUAUGAAGUAAGGCCUUCGGGUUGUAAAGUACUUUCAGCAGUGAGGAAGGUGGGUAUGUUAAUAGCAUAUUCAUUUGACGUUAGCUGCAGAAGAAGCACCGGCUAACUCCGUGCCAGCAGCCGCGGUAAUACGGAGGGUGCGAGCGUUAAUCGGAAUUACUGGGCGUAAAGCGCAUGCAGGUGGUUUGUUAAGUCAGAUGUGAAAGCCCGGGGCUCAACCUCGGAAUUGCAUUUGAAACUGGCAAACUAGAGUACUGUAGAGGGGGUAGAAUUUCAGGUGUAGCGGUGAAAUGCGUAGAGAUCUGAAGGAAUACCGGUGGCGAAGGCGGCCCCCCUGGACAGAUACUGACACUCAGAUGCGAAAGCGUGGGGAGCAAACAGGAUUAGAUACCCUGGUAG